CACGGACCGGUUCGGGCCGGAGCGCGCCGCCCGCCGGGAGGGGUUCUGGUGGAUAAGUUGUGUUUCUUCUCUCCGGGUGCUGUCCGUUCGCAUGUCCGGCCUGCGGCGAAUCAGAGAACAAAAGGACAAGAUAAUAAAGUACAAAAUGGAUCUUUGCAUCAGAAGGAUACCGUUCACGACAAUGACUUUGAGCCCUACCUUUCCGGACAGUCAAACCAGAGUAACAGCUACCCCUCCAUGGCAGACCCCUACCUGUCCAGCUAUUACCCACCAUCCAUCGGAUUCCCCUAUUCCCUCAACGAGGCACCAUGGUCUACAGGAGGGGACCCUCCAAUCCCCUACCUCACCACCUACGGACAGCUCAGUAACGGAGACCACCACUUCGUGCACGAUGCCGUUUUCGGGCAGCCUGGGGGACUGGGGAGCAACAUCUACCAGCACAGGUUCAAUUUUUUCCCUGAAAAUCCUGCCUUUUCAGCCUGGGGGACGAGUGGGUCUCAGGGUCAACAGGCUCAGAGUUCAGCGUAUGGAAACAGCUACACCUACCCGCCGAGCUCCUUGGGUGGCACAAUUGUGGACGGACAGACAGGCUUUCACAGUGAUACUCUCAACAAGGCACCAGGAAUGAACAGCCUGGAGCAGGGCAUGGUGGGCCUGAAGAUUGGGGACGUCACCACCUCUGCGGUCAAGACGGUAGGGUCAGUCGUCAGCAGUGUGGCCAUGACGGGCAUCCUUUCCGGCAAUGGUGGGACCAAUGUGCCCCUGCCGGUAUCAAAGCCGACCUCAUGGGCUGCCAUUGCCAGCAAACCUGCCAAACCACAACCGAAAAUGAAGGCCAAGAGUGGGCCUGCCAUCGGGGGGGCGCUGCCCCCGCCACCUAUUAAACAUAAUAUGGACAUUGGUACUUGGGACAACAAGGGGUCUGUGCCCAAAGCCCCGGCCCCCCAGCAGGUGCCAGCCUCCUCGGUGGCCCCCCAGCCCCAGCCGGCCAUGCAGCCUCUUCCCGCCCAACCUCCCCUUCCAGCCCCACCACAACACACGGCCCCCCAGCAGCUGCCCCAGACCCGCUGGGUUGCCCCUCGCAGCAGAAAUGCGGCGUUUGGGCAGACCGGGGGCCCCAGCAGUGACAGUAACUCCCCUGGGAGCGCCCAGCCCAGCACGACCCUGAGCGCAGAGUCCCACCCCGUCUUAGAAAAACUGAAAGCCGCUCACAGUUACAACCCCAAGGAGUUUGACUGGAACCUGAAGAGCGGGCGCGUGUUCAUCAUCAAGAGUUACUCGGAGGAUGACGUGCACCGCUCUAUCAAGUAUUCGCUCUGGUGUAGCACGGAGCAUGGCAACCGGCGCCUGGACAGUGCCUUCCGUGCCCUGGGCAGCAAGGGGCCUGUCUACCUGCUCUUCAGCGUCAAUGGCAGUGGCCAUUUCUGCGGGGUGGCUGAGAUGAAGUCGCCUGUGGACUACGGCACCAGCGCCGGGGUCUGGUCCCAGGACAAGUGGAAGGGCAAGUUCGACGUGAAGUGGAUCUUCGUGAAGGACGUGCCCAACAGCCAGCUGCGGCACAUCCGACUGGAAAACAACGACAACAAGCCGGUCACCAACUCGCGUGACACCCAAGAGGUACCCCUGGAGAAGGCGCGGCAGGUGCUGCGGAUCAUCGCCUCCUACAGGCACAGCACCUCCAUCUUCGAUGACUUCUCCCACUAUGAGAGGCGCCAGGAGGAGGAGGAGGUGGUGCGCAAGCUUUGCCCAUCUGGAAAUUCAGUGUCCUGAGUGUUUUUUGACAGAAAGGCUUGUAAAUGGGACAUAGAGCACAGUGCUGGUAGCAGUUGGGAAGUUACACAGACUGACCACCUACAAAGCUUUGGAAACAGGAACGGCAGAGUCGAAGCAAGCAGUGAGGGUGCAGCAGGCUCUCGUGCCUCUGACGUGGGGCUGCGCGGCUGAGGGCGUGUGCCUGGUGCUGUAUCCUGGCGGCGGCUCUGCUGGCUUCGUGCAGUGCUCGCCUGCUCACAUCUUUAUGUCCUUUGUAGUUUAUUUUUGCCCAGAUGAAUCUGCAUUCAUUUGUAUUUUUUCUAUGUAUCAUAUAGUAUUGUAGAACUCACUAAUAAAGGACUAUGUUUUUGUCAGCUUAUCAAUCACACUGACCUAACACGAAAUGUAAGUAUCCUUAAAAACAAAAACCUAAUUCAUCCCAAAGAUUUAUUAUUUUGGGGGAACGUCAUGUUCCUAUUCUUAUAUUCACAGUCAUUUAACAUUUUUAUGUGAGACCUUUUGUCUCUCACCCCUUUUGCUUUAAUACUGAACAUAAGACACCAUGAGUUGUCUGCCGUUUUGUGUGUUGUGUUUUAAUUUUGCUUCCCUUCAGGAUGCUGAAGUCCCCAGGCUGAUGACCACCUUGUUUGGCUGCUUUGCCAUUUCUUUUGUUAUCUGUCUGAGAUGCUCAUCUGCCCACUUGAUAAUCUACUAGGCAGAGGAUAAAUUUCAGUUUUUCGAAAAGUUUGGUGAACCUGCUCUCUCCUUGGAGCACCUGCCUCUUCCCUCCGUGUGCACCUGGGGUCUGCUGCGUUCCUGGUCGGAGGUGACCACAGGCCAGGUGCGGAGGGGUUCCUUCUGUGUGCAGACCAUUUUACUUCCCCCUUUUUUUCACUGGAGAGUCCUCGAGCUGUUUCACGUUUUUAUAUCAAUAAUACUGAGCUUUAAACGUGAGAUCUGGUAGUCCAGAGCAGUGUGAUGGAUGAUGCUCCUGGUUGUAAAGUUCAGUGUGUGGGGUCUGUAGUUUCUUUUAUCCUGUUGAAUGGGUAAAACAAAAAAAAUCUUUUAGAAACUUAA
This is a non-coding RNA of Odocoileus virginianus texanus, 2829 nucleotides long. The record is from RefSeq and is a predicted model, not a curated record. NCBI's taxonomy places the organism in Eukaryota, Metazoa, Chordata, Mammalia, Artiodactyla, Cervidae.